GACGAACCGUGCGAACGUUGUUCGGAAUCACUGGGCUUAAAGGGCGCGUAGGCGGGCCGCAAAGUCAGGGGUGAAAGCCUCCAGCUCAACUGGAGAAGUGCCUCUGAUACUGGCGGCCUCGAGGGAGAUAGGGGCGUGCGGAACUUCCGGUGGAGCGGUGAAAUGCGUAGAUAUCGGAAGGAACACCGGUGGCGAAAGCGGCGCGCUGGAUCUCUUCUGACGCUGAGGAGCGAAAGCCAGGGGAGCAAACGGG
Molecule: ribosomal RNA, 253 nt
Filed under: uncultured bacterium
Lineage: Bacteria
Description: partial 16S ribosomal RNA
Rfam family: Bacterial small subunit ribosomal RNA
Source: RNAcentral